Molecule: non-coding RNA, 27 nt
Filed under: Homo sapiens (human)
Lineage: Eukaryota; Metazoa; Chordata; Mammalia; Primates; Hominidae
Source: RNAcentral
UCUGGAAGAAUUGCCUGCAUCAGACAU